This 390-nucleotide ribosomal RNA is filed under the name Streptomyces luteireticuli. RNAcentral describes it as "bacterial SSU rRNA". It matches the Rfam family "Bacterial small subunit ribosomal RNA", at positions 191 to 596 of the family's 1533-position model. The record is from RNAcentral. Lineage: Bacteria; Bacillati; Actinomycetota; Actinomycetes; Kitasatosporales; Streptomycetaceae. RNAcentral also lists the same sequence under 1 other name.
GGUUGGUGGUGGAAAGCUCCGGCGGUGCAGGAUGAGCCCGCGGCCUAUCAGCUUGUUGGUGGGGUAAUGGCCUACCAAGGCGACGACGGGUAGCCGGCCUGAGAGGGCGACCGGCCACACUGGGACUGAGACACGGCCCAGACUCCUACGGGAGGCAGCAGUGGGGAAUAUUGCACAAUGGGCGAAAGCCUGAUGCAGCGACGCCGCGUGAGGGAUGACGGCCUUCGGGUUGUAAACCUCUUUCAGCAGGGAAGAAGCGAAAGUGACGGUACCUGCAGAAGAAGCGCCGGCUAACUACGUGCCAGCAGCCGCGGUAAUACGUAGGGCGCAAGCGUUGUCCGGAAUUAUUGGGCGUAAAGAGCUCGUAGGCGGCUUGUCGCGUCGGAUGUG